RNAcentral lists this transfer RNA (71 nucleotides) under Loxodonta africana (African savanna elephant). It matches the Rfam family "tRNA". Rfam says of the family: Transfer RNA (tRNA) molecules are approximately 80 nucleotides in length. Their secondary structure includes four short double-helical elements and three loops (D, anti-codon, and T loops). The record is from Rfam by way of RNAcentral. Lineage: Eukaryota; Metazoa; Chordata; Mammalia; Proboscidea; Elephantidae.
ACAUUGGUGGUUCGGUGGUAGAAUUUUCACCUUCCAUGCAGGAGACCCAGGUUCGAUUCCUGGUCAGUGCA